Molecule: RNA transcript, 3357 nt
Organism: Vigna angularis (adzuki bean)
Lineage: Eukaryota; Viridiplantae; Streptophyta; Magnoliopsida; Fabales; Fabaceae
Exons: 10
Source: RefSeq, a predicted model, not a curated record
AUACAUCACCUCACCAUUUUUUAAGCAACACAGACGCGAAAACGUUAUUAACAUCUUACGAAAGAAACGCAAUUGCUAGCGAGUCUGGGAGCUAUGGCGGAGGAGGAGGACGACGACGAGAGCUUCGGCGACUUCACCUUCGCGUCGUUUCCGAGUCAACCCUUCCCUUCCACGACGAACGACAAUAAUAACUUCCUCGUCGACAACGAUUGGGGCGACUUCGUUAACCAUUCCAGCCAGAUCAACAACGACCUAUCGAAACCCUUACCCGAUCCCACGACGAAACACGUGAAUGGCAUCAACGACGUCGCAGUUCAAGCCGAGGUGGCGAAAAAGGCCAAUAGAGCUAUUCCGCUCUCGAUCUUCGGCGAGGAGGAGGAGGAAGAGGAGGAACCAUCUCCUUCUAAUGUUUUCCCCAACGGCGGGGUUGUCAAAGGGGGAUCUGGUUCGAAUGGGUCCGUUGGAAUCAGUGAUUUGAUUUCCAAUUUGUAUAAUCAGCAGCUUCCUCAAAUGGAUUCUAUCAACGGAUCGGUUUCGGUAUCCAAUGGUGCUGCUCCCAAUCCCGCGAACACCAAGGAAAACAAAUUGAAUGAGGAGGAGGAUGAGGAUGGGUGGGAAUUCAAGUCUGCGGAAUGGGAAACUGGAAUCAAGAGCCAGGAUGUUAAGGCUGAAUUGCAAAAGCAUGAUAAUGGUGCUCUUCAUGCUGUUACUGUGUCCAAUUCGUCCAAUGGGAUUUCGGACAAAGCUGGUGGGUGGCACUUGGAAUUUGAGUUAAGUCCAAUAUUUGCUUCGCAAAAUCAUAUUAACCCACAACCUGGUCUGAAUGGUGAAUCAAAAGAUGUCGCAACUGGGUUUGCCAUGCCCAGCCAAAGUUUUGGGGAAUUGAAUUCAGGGUCUGGAUCAAAUCAAAAUUUGAAAGCAUUGGAGAAGGCUGACAUUUAUCCCACUAGUAUGGAAUUACUCAAAUUUGACAGUACAAUUGGUUCAUCUCUUGCAUCAGUAUCUCAUCAAUCUGAUGAAUGGAACUUCGGAUUUAAUUUCAAUUCCAGUUCUGUGGGGGAAGACAAUCAUAGCUCAGAGCCACACUUGAAAAGAAUCGAAACCAAAAUCAAUCAGGCUGAUAACAGCAUAAACAAUGCUUCCCCAACUAAUAUAAAUGUCAAUUCAGAUGUCAAUUUGUUUGAAUCAGAGGGUGCUAUUACAAAACAAGAGAAGCCCCUAACAGGCACAGAGAAUCGUAGGGAAGCCUUGCCUCUGUCAAUUUUUGGUGAUGAGACACCAGAUACUGAUGAACAAUCUGUGCCUCAAGAUCUAUCUCACUGUACACCAACAUCCCCAGUAAGGAACAAUUUCAAUAGCCUUGCAUCCAAGUUAUCUAUCAAUGACAUAUGGAGUUUGUAUAAUCAAGCUGAAAAACAAACUUCUCCAAAAGCAAGUGAAAAUCAGAUUCUUGCCUUACCUGAAGUAUCAGGCUCCAGUUUGGUUACUGAUAAUGAUGGUUUAGAUGAUGAUUUCUGGGACUUUAAGGAUGCUUCAACUGAAUCACGAUUCACCCAUGAAUCACAGCGAACUUCUUUUAGUUACACAUCGCAAGUCAAUGACAAUGGGUUGCAUUCUUCCCCAACUGUUUUAAAUUCUGAUUUGGCCAACGAUGAAGAUGAUUUUGAGGAUGAUUCAUGGGAAUUCAAGGAUGCCAUCUAUGGAACACAAAGUCAAGAUCACACAUCUACUCUAGAUCUCACAGAUUUACCGGUGGCCCAGUUAUCCACGAAAUUAGAGCUGAGUGACUAUGCAGAGUUUUAUAGCAAAUUGAAGGAUGAAUUGUGCAAUUAUGUUCUGUCUCAUCUUCAGAAACUCAAGAAAACUCUAAAUGAUGCUGCCCUUUCGGGUGAAGAUGCCAAAGCAAAAGCUCUUGAGGAACAAAUUCAGGAAUUCUUGGAGAUACUGCAUCAGGACAAAAUGAAUGUCCCUACUGAAUAUCUCUCUGAGGAUUAUUGCCCAACAAAUGUCUGCUUUAAUGAACUUCUUGAAGUUUUGAAGGAACCUAGGUUCCAACCUUUUGAGUCCGAAUACCAGCUAGCAUCAAGGUUGUUGAUGGCUGAGAAGGAUAUUAAAUCUGCAAUUGAACUUUUGAAAGAUACAGUAUCCACGUUAAGGAUUCUCAAGUUGGGAUCAAGAGAAGAUCAGUGUAAUUAUCUUACCAUAUGGUUCAAAAUAGCCUUUGUUUGUUCUCAAGAGCUGAAGCAUGGUGCUGAUGUUUGGAAGCAAGUUGUACUAAAGAAUGUCCAUGACCAGAUAUUAUCUGACCGAAAAGGUGUUCAGUAUAUCAUUGCACUCGGGGAAAUUUAUAGAGUUGCAGAAAUCAUUGGUGCUUCAAUCAAACUUCACAAACCUUGGAUGUUAUCAGAUUACACAGAUCAUAAAAGUUUAUGUUUCCUUUUGGACGAGUGUUAUAGCAUAUGGUUGGCUUCUGGACUUCAAGAAGCACUUUUGAGUAUAUCAAGUCAGAAUAAUUUUGAGCCAGAUGAAAUUUCAAGGGAAUUAGUUGAGUCCAUCAAGUAUAUUCACGAGCUUGAUGAACAUGCACUUCGUAGCUAUGUUAUCUCUGGAGAACAAACUACUUGUCAGUUGUCAGCCUUGCCAGGGGGUUGCAUACCAGGGUUGAAUUUGGUGACAUGGAACGGGAAGCAUUGCAUCGUGAAGCUUGCAAACUUGUGGAUCAACCUAAUAAGUUCGGAUUCACCCAAGAUGUGACACCUGCCAAUUCAACUGUCCCUCCUUCACAACGAGUGACUAUUUCACUUUUUCAGUGGUUGUUUCGCGUUUCACAAUGAGUUAGAUUGUGGCGGGACCCAUUGUUUUGUUAGUGGGGGUGAGACCUUUGGCGCACGAACAACAGCUGUAGUGAAGGGAGAGUCUGAGUCUGUAUGGGAUGAAAAUCAUUCUAUUGAGUCGAACCAGGCAAAGUUACCAAUUAAGUUCAUUCUUUCUUCAAUAGGUUACCAUUCUUUCAGGAAAGCUUUAUAACAAUAGCCGGAUUUGUUACAGGUGUAAGAUGUAUUACUAGUGAUAACGAAGAAUUAUAUACUACGACAUAGAGUAUAAUUUUGGAUACAAUCCAGCCAUGCAGAAGAAACUGUAUUGCUUAGUUAUCGUAUGAUUCUGGUGUUGUAAAGUAACUGGGAUUCUUCCCUUCUCAAUUUUAUACAAUGCACUUGCCGAAUCAGCUCAAGACAACUCAAUCGGAAAGACAACUCAAUCGGAAAGACAACUCAAUUGGAAAGACAACCGCAGCAACAGUACGUUAUAUACUUACAAGUGAAAUGAUAAAUGUAUUUUUUUUCUUAUGUUUUUUUC